Molecule: non-coding RNA, 404 nt
Filed under: Pongo abelii (Sumatran orangutan)
Lineage: Eukaryota; Metazoa; Chordata; Mammalia; Primates; Hominidae
Source: RNAcentral
UACUAGCCAUCUAAAACCAAAAAUCAGGACAUAUUUAUAUCUUAUUGCUAUGUCCAAAGGUUGAUUUUUCUUCACUUCCUCUCUUGAAGGUAGUUGUGGCAAUAAAGUGUAGUCUCCAUGAAAGGGAUGUGAGCAGAAGUCAUGUGUGCCACUUCUGGUUCAUCAACUCAAAGGCAAAGGUACUUUUCGAGGACUUCCAGCACCCUCUUCCAACAGACUGGAAGAUGGAUGUGGCCAUGAAACCACUUCAACCACACAGACCAGGACAUCAGUCCAGGGACUGGCAGAGGUGAGCAUCCUCUGUUUGGCAUUUCCACAUGUAAUAAGUUAAGAACUGAUUUGAGACGAUAGCCCAAAAAUGCAAUUGUAUAAAUCCAAAUAAAAAAUUUAAAGAAUCAUCCCAA